GCCGGGCGUGGUGAUGCACACCUGUAAUCCCAGCUACUUAGGAGGCUGAGGCAGGAGAAUUGUUUGAACCCAGGAGGCAGAGGUUGCAGUGAGCCAAGAUUGUGCCACUGCAUUCCAUCCUGGGUGACAGAGCAAAACUCCGUCUCAA
RNAcentral lists this non-coding RNA (148 nucleotides) under Chlorocebus sabaeus (green monkey). Lineage: Eukaryota; Metazoa; Chordata; Mammalia; Primates; Cercopithecidae. The record is from Rfam by way of RNAcentral.